UCCCCCUCCUCCACCCCGCGUCCCGCCCCCCGGUCCCCCGGCCAGUCUGCAGGCACCUUUGUUCUCGGCCGCUGCUGUCCGCUGCGCGGUGAUUCACGACGCUGCAGAGGCGGGCGGAAGGGCGAGGGCGCCCCAGGCGGCACCCAGAGGACGCCUUGCUGGGUUCCUCCCCGCCCCAGCGUCCGCGCCGCGGGACCGUAGCUGGCGUCGCCACGGAGGGCACCUCAGGGGUAGCCGGGGGCGUGCGGAGAGGACGGGAGCCAGGGUCCGCCCUAGUCCACCUGGAUCUCGGCGCUGCGGUUAGGCGCAGGCACACGGCGGUGCAGAAGGAUGUGCCAGAGCUGGGGCGGCAACGAACCCGGUCCUGCCUGGGGGCCCAUCCCCAAUCCUGCGAGGAACUCUGUGUCCACGGGCCUCCUAGGGCUCCAUCCCCGGUCGUGUGAGGCCCACUGGAUCCCCUCCCCCCAUCAUGCAAGGCCCUCUGGAUCCCCUGGCCUGGCCUGAGGGGACUCCAUCCUUGGGCCUGUGUGUGGCUACCGAAGAGGCCGAGAGCCAGAGCGCAGCGCCUGCUCUCCUGGGAGCCGCUCACAGAUGGCCUACCAAGUCCAAAAGAAGGCGCAGACCCCCAGCUCUUCGCAGAGAUACAGCUAGCCUCAGCCUGUCCUUUCCUGCCUUUCCCACUUGCAUGCUGUGGGAGAUGGCCUUGCCCACAGUUGAUAACCCUUAAACUUCAUUCCAGUUGGUGUGUGCUUUCUUACAGACCAGCUUCCGAUUCUACAAAGAACGCACCUGAGAAAAUAGCCAGAAGUCCAUGGAAGAAGGAUGGAGUCAAAACUGCUCUGUCCGAGAGUGUGUAGAUCGUGCUCAAAGAAACCUGCCACAAAGAAAGGGCAUCUUUCCCCAAAGUUCUCCUCAUUGACCAGGAGGAACCUCUGUUAGAUUCUCUGGAUAAAUUCAUAGUUUAAAAAAAAAAAUGUAUUCAGUUAUUUGGUUCUACUCUUUCCCUAGAUCAAAUAUGAAUUGAAAACAUAUCAUUACAAGCCAAUGAAUACUGAUUCACCUUGCAAAACAAAGUAUGAAGGAAACACCAUAAGGAUUAGAUCCCUGCUGCCUGCCUCCCCCACCUGGGGCAGUUUCCCCUCCAAAGAGAAUGAUACAAACAUAUAAUUGUAUGUACAGGCAGCUUAGAUAGGAGAAAACUUA
Molecule: long non-coding RNA, 1203 nt
Filed under: Marmota monax (woodchuck)
Lineage: Eukaryota; Metazoa; Chordata; Mammalia; Rodentia; Sciuridae
Source: RNAcentral